Molecule: long non-coding RNA, 450 nt
Filed under: Oryctolagus cuniculus (rabbit)
Lineage: Eukaryota; Metazoa; Chordata; Mammalia; Lagomorpha; Leporidae
Description: lncRNA (ENSOCUG00000031052.1)
Source: RNAcentral
AUGGAAAGGGACACAAGCAUUCAGUCCACAGUAGCAGAUGUUCUGUUUGGUUCUGAUUCCAUUUUAUUUUCUUCCCUCCUAGGUCUGAGCUAUGCUGUUCCUUUCUCGGAGCCCUGCGCUCAGCAUAGGUGCACGUCCACCACGGCGGGAUUCACCCUUUGUCCCUGCUUCCACCAUUUCCUUCUACAGCAGCCAGAAUCAGGCUGGGGCUCUAGGGGAGAAAACGCCUCUUUGAAUUGUUGCAAAAGUGAUACCCAUGGAGUAGAUGCUAUACUUGGAAAUUUGAAAAUUUUUUUUCAUUUGAUAAUGAUGCAAUGCUGCUCCCUGGUGAUGCAGGGCAGUUGGGAAGCAGCCCACAGUCCAGCGCUGCAAAGCAAGGAUGUUUGCUUCUCAUUCUCGCGAGAUCAAAACAAUUGUCACCUUCAGCAGUCACAUUCAGAAAUCCCAUAG